Molecule: ribosomal RNA, 718 nt
Filed under: uncultured Acidobacteriota bacterium
Lineage: Bacteria; Pseudomonadati; Acidobacteriota
Description: bacterial SSU rRNA
Rfam family: Bacterial small subunit ribosomal RNA
Source: RNAcentral
GGAUGUGCCGCAAGGUGCAUGGCAGACGGGUGAGUAACGCGUAGGGAAUCUACCUUUUAGUGGGGAAUAACGCUCCGAAAGGAGUGGUAAUACCGCAUGAGACCGGUGGCUGGGAUGCUGCCGGUGAAACCUGGGGACCGCAAGGCCUGGGGCUAGAAGAGGAUCCUGCGUCUGAUUAGCUAGUUGGCGGGGUAAUGGCCCACCAAGGCGACGAUCAGUAGCCGGCCUGAGAGGGUGAUCGGCCACACUGGAACUGAGACACGGUCCAGACUCCUACGGGAGGCAGCAGUGGGGAAUUUUGCGCAAUGGACGAAAGUCUGACGCAGCAACGCCGCGUGGGUGAUGAAGGUCUUCGGACUGUAAAACCCUGUCGUCAGGGAACGAAGGUUGGGGGGUUAAUAACCCUUCAGCUUGACGGUACCUGAGAGAGGAAGCCCCGGCUAACUCUGUGCCAGCAGCCGCGGUAAUACAGAGGGGGCAAGCGUUAUUCGGAAUUAUUGGGCGUAAAGGGCGCGUAGGCGGUUUUUUAAGUCAGAUGUGUAAUCCCCGAGCUCAACUUGGGAACUGCAUCUGAGACUGGAAGGCUAGAGUACUGGAGAGGGUGGUGGAAUUCCUCGUGUAGCGGUGAAAUGCGUAGAGAUGAGGAGGAACACCAGUGGCGAAGGCGGCCACCUGGACAGUAACUGACGCUGAGGCGCGAAAGUGUGGGUAGCAAACA